RNAcentral lists this ribosomal RNA (75 nucleotides) under Enterococcus faecium. Its description in RNAcentral is "partial 16S ribosomal RNA". It matches the Rfam family "Bacterial small subunit ribosomal RNA", at positions 1459 to 1533 of the family's 1533-position model. Lineage: Bacteria; Bacillati; Bacillota; Bacilli; Lactobacillales; Enterococcaceae. The record is from RNAcentral.
AAGGUAGGGUCAGCGAUUGGGGUGAAGUCGUAACAAGGUAGCCGUAGGAGAACCUGCGGCUGGAUCACCUCCUUU